GUCUAUCUAUAUUUUUUAAACAAUCACGAUAUUCAAAAAGGAUCCAUAACUCAUCAUCGGAAGGUUCUACUUUCGAGAUAAAAUGGACUUACCGGAAGUACCGACAUGUUGCCAUGUUGGAAUGUGCCUUUUAGUUGUAUGGGCUAAGGAAAAUGGCAGUUUAGGCGAGAAAAGGGCAUGUAUUUUGGCUGAAAGUGGAAGAAUAUUAGCCCAUAAGGUUGUUUAACAGUUGAGCAGACGAGGAGAAGCAUUAAAGCUUCAAUUUGAAAUACCAUCAGGAGAGAUGUUUCCGAUUCUGUUGCGGCCUCUUGAUUUUAAUCCUACGUCUUCAAAUAUCGAUUCAGUGACAGAGACACUUUAGCAGCUUCAAAAUAAAUCACCUGGUUACUGCACUGCAAUUAAUCUUGUGCACAGUAUGUAUCAACUGGUCAUACAUACAGGGUAACAUGCACGAACAUAGGGCAUAAUAGCUCAUAAAUUAAAUUCACAUGACAUGAUCCAAGCACACAGCAGCCAGCAAGUCAUUAGGCAUGAACUGAUGAAAAGAUGUACAAACAUUAUGAGGAUCUGCAUACAGGGAAGCCGUGAAUCUUGAGCUCAUGCAAAAUUCAUUGAACUCCUGGUAUGUCUAUAUAUGUUCCAUAUGGCAGUGGUAGAUCAACAUUAAGAAAUUACACCGUCAGAGAGUUGCAUUGAGACAGAACAUCGAGCUAGUCCCGGUGUGGUUGUAGUAACCACACCGCCGCCGCAAGAGGCCGCCUCCACCCCGUUCCUCCCCCCUCGCCGCCGCCACAGGGCGN
This 800-nucleotide long non-coding RNA is filed under the name Hordeum vulgare. Its description in RNAcentral is "long non-coding RNA (HVUL_LNC003332)". Lineage: Eukaryota; Viridiplantae; Streptophyta; Magnoliopsida; Poales; Poaceae. The record is from RNAcentral.